Molecule: ribosomal RNA, 253 nt
Filed under: uncultured bacterium
Lineage: Bacteria
Description: partial 16S ribosomal RNA
Rfam family: Bacterial small subunit ribosomal RNA
Source: RNAcentral
UACAGAGGGGGCAAGCGUUGUUCGGAAUUACUGGGCGUAAAGGGCGCGUAGGCGGCCUUCUAAGUCGAACGUGAAAUCCCCGGGCUCAACCCGGGAACUGCGUCCGAUACUGGAAGGCUUGAAUCCGGGAGAGGGAUGCGGAAUUCCAGGUGUAGCGGUGAAAUGCGUAGAUAUCAGGAAGAACACCCGUGGCGAAAGCGGCUCUCUGGAACGGUACUGACGCUGAGACGCGAAAGCGUGGGGAGCGAACAGG